This 915-nucleotide ribosomal RNA is filed under the name uncultured Peptostreptococcaceae bacterium. RNAcentral describes it as "bacterial SSU rRNA". It matches the Rfam family "Bacterial small subunit ribosomal RNA", at positions 8 to 930 of the family's 1533-position model. The record is from RNAcentral. Lineage: Bacteria; Bacillati; Bacillota; Clostridia; Peptostreptococcales; Peptostreptococcaceae.
AGAGUUUGAUCCUGGCUCAGGACGAACGCUGGCGGCGUGCUUAACACAUGCAAGUCGAACGAUGAACCUUCCAUGAUCUAUUCGUAGAGAUUGGAAGCGGAUUAGUGGCGAACGGGUGAGUAACGCGUGAGCAACCUGCCUUAAACAACGGGAUAGCCUCGGGAAACCGGGAUUAAUACCGUAUGAGACCCCGCCUUCACAUGAAGAAGAGGUUAAAGAUUUAUCGGUUUAAGAUGGGCUCGCGUCUGAUUAGCUAGUUGGUGAGAUAAAAGCCCACCAAGGCAACGAUCAGUAACCGGCUUGAGAGAGUGAACGGUCACAUUGGAACUGAGACACGGUCCAAACUCCUACGGGAGGCAGCAGUGGGGAAUAUUGCACAAUGGGGGAAACCCUGAUGCAGCGACGCCGCGUGAGCGAUGAAGGAAUUCGUUUCGUAAAGCUCUGUCCUAGGGGAAGAUAAUGACAGUACCCUUGGAGGAAGCCCCGGCUAAAUACGUGCCAGCAGCCGCGGUAAUACGUAUGGGGCGAGCGUUGUCCGGAAUUAUUGGGCGUAAAGGGUACGUAGGCGGUUUCAUAAGUCAGAUGUAAAAGCGUGGGGCUCAACCCCAUAAAGCAUUUGAAACUGUGGAACUUGAGUAGUGGAGAGGAAAGUGGAAUUCCUAGUGUAGCGGUGAAAUGCGUAGAUAUUAGGAGGAAUACCAGUGGCGAAGGCGACUUUCUGGACACAAACUGACGCUGAGGUACGAAAGCAUGGGGAGCAAACAGGAUUAGAUACCCUGGUAGUCCAUGCCGUAAACGAUGAAUGCUAUGUGUCGGGGGUCAAACCUCGGUGCCGCAGUUAACACAGUAAGCAUUCCGCCUGGGGAGUACGGUGCAACACUGAAACUCAAGGAAUUGACGGGGACCCGCACAAGC